RNAcentral lists this unclassified non-coding RNA (518 nucleotides) under uncultured Glomeromycotina. Its description in RNAcentral is "SSU rRNA". It matches the Rfam family "Eukaryotic small subunit ribosomal RNA", at positions 571 to 1092 of the family's 1831-position model. The record is from RNAcentral. Lineage: Eukaryota; Fungi; Glomeromycota.
CAGCCGCGUAAUUCCAGCUCCAAUAGCGUAUAUUAAAGUUGUUGCAGUUAAAAAGCUCGUAGUUGAAUUUCGGGAUCAAGGGAUCGGUCAUGCCUUGGUAUGUACUGGUUUUAUUGGUUCUCACCUUCUAAAGAACCAUAAUGUCAUUUAUUUGAUGUUAUGGGGAAUUAGGACUGUUACCUUGAAAAAAUUAGAGUGUUUAAAGCAAGCUUACGCUUGAAUACAUUAGCAUGGAAUAAUGAAAUAGGACAUCAGAUUCUAUUUUGUUGGUUUCUAGGAUCGAUGUAAUGAUUAAUAGGGAUAGUUGGGGGCAUUAGUAUUCAAUUGUCAGAGGUGAAAUUCUUGGAUUUAUUGAAGACUAACUACUGCGAAAGCAUUUGCCAAGGAUGUUUUCAUUAAUCAAGAACGAAAGUUAGGGGAUCGAAGACGAUCAGAUACCGUCGUAGUCUUAACCAUAAACUAUGCCGACUAGGGAUCGGAUGAUGUUAAUUUUUUAAUGACUCAUUCGGCACCUUACG